This is a long non-coding RNA of Vidua macroura (Pin-tailed whydah), 1508 nucleotides long. RefSeq lists it as uncharacterized. The transcript is spliced from 4 exons. The record is from RefSeq and is a predicted model, not a curated record. NCBI's taxonomy places the organism in Eukaryota, Metazoa, Chordata, Aves, Passeriformes, Viduidae.
GCUCCGUUCCCACCCACCUUCCUGCCCCUCAGAGGGGAGCGAGCCUGACACACUCUUAAUUUGUUCUAAUUGUCUCAUCAGGGGAGAACUAAUGGUGCCGGCCUGCUGGCAACACUUGGCUGCGUCUGGAAAACAACACCAAGUAGGUGUCCUGAACAAAGCAGACUGGAAAUUCCCUGUUCCUGGAGUAUCCAAGAACCAGGGAAGAUGCUCUUCCCCUUCAAAGAAUUGGGAAUGGAUCCGAGUCAAGGGAAGGAACCCAAAGCACACAGAAACUUUAGUCAGCCAGGGCUGUCCAAGGAUUGUCUGUUCAGUCCUGACCAGACCUGUCCUCCAACCCACAGAAGACCGUGGUUUUUGUGAAACUGUUCUUGGCUAUAAAAUUUGGGUUGCAGAAUCCCUUUUAUUCCUGAUGCAGAAGAUGGAAAGAGCCCAAUUUAAUUUUAGCAUCCCAAGCAGAGUUUGAAGGGCAGGAAUCUUCAGCCCCAGGGAGAGAAUCAAGCUGUAUAAAUUGUUUGCAACUCCAGCCUCAGGGAACAGGGCAGAGGGAGAUGAGCAGGAAGAGUGAGAGGCUGAAGCACUUGGUGACACCAGGAUUGCAUCAAGCAGUAGAGCAGCCAAGGACUUUGCAAUUUUCUUCCCAUUUUCCUGGCUAAUCUGUUCAGGCUGGAGCCAAACCCACUGAGCUGGGCAAGGGUUUGGCAUCACAUCAGUGCUUUAAUAACCAUCUCUCCCCUGAAUUUGUUUUUGCACACUGUAGAUCUGACAUUAUCAACUAUAAAAUUCUACCUUCUGCAACAAAUACAACCUCAUUGUGAUUUCUUUGAAGGCAGUGCAGAUGACCCGGGGUACUUAAGCAAGUAGAAACUAUGCAAAAAAACCCUGGUAAAUAUCUAGCUUGUCCUUACCCUGAUGAAAAAGUUUCUGACAUUACUAUCACACUAAGACAAAUUUAGUAUUUCCUUUUAUUUUUAUGAGUAAUUUCUUAAUCAAAGGCACCAAGAAUCCAAAAUCUUAGCAGUAAAAGUUCAAUUCCCCAACACUUUAAUGGUCAAUUAACUGAUGACCUUGAGUCUCUAAAGGAUUUCCAGAGUAAUUUAGUAAGUGCAUAGUUACACCAAGUACUGAAAAUACACUUGGAACCAAUUUUCUGUAUGUGCAGUGCACUGCUGGGUCACUCCUUUGUGCAUGUCUUUGACCCUUAUCUGUAAUAAUAUAUUCCUGCAGAGAAAACUGGAAUUAUUCCACAGUACAUUAUUACUGCUCAGAAAACUCCUUUAAUGUUCACACUGAUAAAGAUAUUAAUGUAGUAGAAUUAGACAUAUCCUUUUGUCUGAACGGCACUUGAAAAUCUCUGUUGUGACUACAGUUGACUGAAGCUCAAUUACUUUAAUAAAUGUAUUCCAAAUUUCACCUUGAUUACAUUAGCAUUUUAAUGAAGGAUUCUUGCCUACUUGUCAAAUAGGCAGCCCAGCUAAAUUUAUUAAGUUAUUGUAUAAACAGGGUAU